RNAcentral lists this small RNA (272 nucleotides) under Pan troglodytes (chimpanzee). RNAcentral's name for it is "processed transcript". Lineage: Eukaryota; Metazoa; Chordata; Mammalia; Primates; Hominidae. The record is from RNAcentral.
GUUUUUGUUGAAAUGUGGCUUCAUCACUAUUCCUUGGAGAUGUAUCAAAAAAUGCAGUCCCCUCACACCAAGGGCUGCUGUCCCGAGGUUCGUCCAGCAGAAACUCUACCUCUUCUUGGAGCAUUGCUUUGGCCACUGGCCCCUGGACGCAUCGUUCAGAGCUGUCCUGGAGAUGUGGCUGAGCUACCUGCAGCCGUGGCGGUACGCGCCUGACAAGCAGGCUCCGGGCAGCGACUCCCAGCCCCGGUGUGUGUCGGAGAAAUGGUGAGCCU